This 253-nucleotide ribosomal RNA is filed under the name uncultured bacterium. RNAcentral describes it as "partial 16S ribosomal RNA". It matches the Rfam family "Bacterial small subunit ribosomal RNA", at positions 524 to 776 of the family's 1533-position model. The record is from RNAcentral.
UACGAAGGGUGCAAGCGUUGUCCGGAAUUAUUGGGCGUAAAGAGCUCGUAGGCGGUUUGUUGCGUCGGCUGUGAAAUCCCGAGGCUCAACCUCGGGUCUGCAGUCGAUACGAGCAAACUAGAGUGUUGCAGGGGAGACUGGAAUUCCUGGUGUAGCGGUGAAAUGCGCAGAUAUCAGGAAGAACACCAACGGCGAAGGCAGCUCGCUGGGACGGUACUGACGCUGAGACGCGAAAGCGUGGGGAGCGAACAGG